CCCAAACACUAAAUCACUUGGCGGUGCUUUAUACCCUUCUAGAGGAGCCUGUUCUAUAAUCGAUAAACCCCGAUAAACCUCACCAGUCUUUGCUAAUACAGUCUAUAUACCGCCAUCUUCAGCAAACCCUAAAAAGGAAUAGAAGUAAGCAUAAUCACAGUACGUAAAAACGUUAGGUCAAGGUGUAACCUAUGGAGUGGGAAGAAAUGGGCUACAUUUUCUAUCUUAAGAAAAUAUACGAAAGUUAUUAUGAAACUAAUAACUAAAGGAGGAUUUAGUAGUAAACUAAGAAUAGAGUGCUUAGUUGAAUUAGGCCAUAAAGCACGCACACACCGCCCGUCACCCUCY
RNAcentral lists this ribosomal RNA (348 nucleotides) under Procapra picticaudata (Tibetan gazelle). Its description in RNAcentral is "partial 12S ribosomal RNA". It matches the Rfam family "Microsporidia small subunit ribosomal RNA", at positions 770 to 1208 of the family's 1311-position model. The record is from RNAcentral. Lineage: Eukaryota; Metazoa; Chordata; Mammalia; Artiodactyla; Bovidae.